GAUGAACGCUGGCGGCGUGCCUAAUACAUGCAAGUCGAGCGAACAGAUGAGGAGCUUGCUCCUCUGACGUUAGCGGCGGACGGGUGAGUAACACGUGGAUAACCUACCUAUAAGACUGGGAUAACUUCGGGAAACCGGCGCUAAUACCGGAUAAUAUAUUGAACCGCAUGGUUCAAUAGUGAAAGACGGUUUUGCUGUCACUUAUAGAUGGAUCCGCGCCGCAUUAGCUAGUUGGUAAGGUAACGGCUUACCAAGGCAACGAUGCGUAGCCGACCUGGGAGGGUGAUCGGCCGCACUGGAACUGAGACACGGUCCAGACUCCUACGGGAGGCAGCAGUAGGGAAUCUUCCGCAAUGGGCGAAGGCCUGACGGAGCAACGCCGCGUGAGUGAUGAAGGUCUUCGGAUCGUAAAACUCUGUUAUUAGGGAAGAACAAAUGUGUAAGUAACUAUGCACGUCUUGACGGUACCUAAUCAGAAAGCCACGGCUAACUACGUG
Molecule: ribosomal RNA, 497 nt
Filed under: uncultured bacterium
Lineage: Bacteria
Description: partial 16S ribosomal RNA
Rfam family: Bacterial small subunit ribosomal RNA
Source: RNAcentral